This 518-nucleotide ribosomal RNA is filed under the name uncultured Archaeospora. Its description in RNAcentral is "bacterial SSU rRNA". It matches the Rfam family "Eukaryotic small subunit ribosomal RNA", at positions 569 to 1095 of the family's 1831-position model. Lineage: Eukaryota; Fungi; Glomeromycota; Glomeromycetes; Archaeosporales; Archaeosporaceae. The record is from RNAcentral.
AGCAGCCGCGGUAAUUCCAGCUCCGAUAGCGUAUAUUAAAGUUGUUGCAGUUAAAACGCUCGUAGUUGAAUUUCAGGCUUGGCCGGAUGGUCCCUUUCGGCGAGUACUGUCCUGUGUCAAUCCUUCCUUCUGGUGAACCAGCAUGUCCUUCAUUGGAUGUGCUGGGGAGCCAGAACUAUUACCUUGAAAAAAUUAGAGUGUUUAAAGCAGGCGAUUGCUUGAAUAGAUUAGCAUGGAAUAAUAAAAUAGGACGUUGGUUCUAUUUUGUUGGUUUCUAGGACCAACGUAAUGAUUAAUAGGGAUAGUUGGGGCAUUAGUAUUCAAUUGUCAGAGGUGAAAUUCUUGGAUUUAUUGAAGACUAACUACUGCGAAAGCAUUUGCCAAGGAUGUUUCAUUAAUCAAGAACGAAAGUCAGGGAUCGAAGACGAUCAGAUACCGUCGUAGUCUUAACCAUAAACUAUGCCGACUAGGGAUCGGAUGAUGUUAAUUUUUAAUGACUCGUUAGGCGCCUUAACGGG